Molecule: ribosomal RNA, 471 nt
Filed under: uncultured bacterium
Lineage: Bacteria
Description: bacterial SSU rRNA
Rfam family: Bacterial small subunit ribosomal RNA
Source: RNAcentral
ACUCCUACGGGAGGCAGCAGUGGGGAAUAUUGCACAAUGGGCGCAAGCCUGAUGCAGCCAUGCCGCGUGUAUGAAGAAGGCCUUCGGGUUGUAAAGUACUUUCAGCAGUGAGGAAGGUGGGUAUGUUAAUAGCAUAUUCAUUUGACGUUAGCUGCAGAAGAAGCACCGCUAACUCCGUGCCAGCAGCCGCGGUAAUACGGAGGGUGCGAGCGUUAAUCGGAAUUACUGGGCGUAAAGCGCAUGCAGGUGGUUUGUUAAGUCAGAUGUGAAAGCCCGGGGCUCAACCUCGGAAUUGCAUUUGAAACUGGCAAACUAGAGUACUGUAGAGGGGGGUAGAAUUUCAGGUGUAGCGGUGAAAUGCGUAGAGAUCUGAAGGAAUACCGGUGGCGAACGGCGGCCCCCUGGACAGAUACUGACACUCAGAUGCGAAAGCGUGGGAGCAAACAGGAUUAGAUACCCUGGUAGCUCUGC